AAAUCGGUCCUUUUCAGGACCCCAAUGUUAAUUUGCAAUGAGAUUU
Drosophila ananassae is the source of this 46-nucleotide non-coding RNA. The record is from Rfam. Lineage: Eukaryota; Metazoa; Arthropoda; Insecta; Diptera; Drosophilidae.